CUCCUACGGGAGGCAGCAGUAGGGAAUCUUCGGCAAUGGGGGCAACCCUGACCGAGCAACGCCGCGUGAGUGAAGAAGGUUUUCGGAUCGUAAAGCUCUGUUGUUAGAGAAGAAUGAUGGUGGGAGUGGAAAAUCCACCAAGUGACGGUAACUAACCAGAAAGGGACGGCUAACUACGUGCCAGCAGCCGCGGUAAUACGUAGGUCCCGAGCGUUGUCCGGAUUUAUUGGGCGUAAAGCGAGCGCAGGCGGUUUUUUAAGUCUGAAGUUAAAGGCAUUGGCUCAACCAAUGUACGCUUUGGAAACUGGAGAACUUGAGUGCAGAAGGGGAGAGUGGAAUUCCAUGUGUAGCGGUGAAAUGCGUAGAUAUAUGGAGGAACACCGGUGGCGAAAGCGGCUCUCUGGUCUGUAACUGACGCUGAGGCUCGAAAGCGUGGGGAGCAAACAGGAUUAGAUACCCUGGUAGUCCACGCCGUAAACGCUGCGAGCUCGGGAUUGUGCCCUUUCCGGUGCUUACUGCCGGAGCUAACGCUCUAAGCACUCCGCCUGGGUUGUACGACCGCAAGGUUUACACUCAUCGGAAUUCACGGGGGCCCGCACAAGCGGUGGAGCAUGUGGUUUAUUUCGAACCAACGCGAAGAACCUUACCAGGUAUUGACUUCUCCCUGACCGGUCCAGUGAUGGGCUUUCGCUUCGGG
This 697-nucleotide ribosomal RNA is filed under the name Lacticaseibacillus rhamnosus. Its description in RNAcentral is "bacterial SSU rRNA". It matches the Rfam family "Bacterial small subunit ribosomal RNA", at positions 336 to 1023 of the family's 1533-position model. Lineage: Bacteria; Bacillati; Bacillota; Bacilli; Lactobacillales; Lactobacillaceae. The record is from RNAcentral.